GACGAACGCUGGCGGCGUGCUUAACACAUGCAAGUCGAACGGAAAGGCCCUGCUUUUGUGGGGUUCUCGAGUGGCGAACGGGUGAGUAACACGUGAGUAACCUGCCCUUGACUUUGGGAUAACUUCAGGUAACUGGGGCUAAUACCGGAUAGGAGCUCCUGCUCCAUGGUGGGGGUUGGAAAGUUUCGGCGGUUGGGGAUGGAUUCGCGGCUUAUCAGCUUGUUGGUGGGGUAGUGGAUUACCAAGGCUUUGACGGGUAGCCGGCCUGAGAGGGUGACCGGCCACAUUGGGACUGAGAUACGGACCAGACUCCUACGGGAGGCAACGGUGGGAAAUAUGGCACAAUGGGCGGGAGCCUGAGGCAACAGCGCCGCGUGCGGGAUGACGGCCUUCGGGGUGUGAACCGCUGUCGCCUGAGCCGAAGCGUGAGUGACGGUAAUGGGUAAAGAAGCAACGGCUAACUACGUG
Molecule: ribosomal RNA, 468 nt
Filed under: uncultured bacterium
Lineage: Bacteria
Description: partial 16S ribosomal RNA
Rfam family: Bacterial small subunit ribosomal RNA
Source: RNAcentral